Molecule: ribosomal RNA, 449 nt
Filed under: uncultured bacterium
Lineage: Bacteria
Description: bacterial SSU rRNA
Rfam family: Bacterial small subunit ribosomal RNA
Source: RNAcentral
GUCGAGAAUUUUUCACAAUGGGCGAAAGCCUGAUGGAGCGACGCCGCGUGGGGGAUGAAUGGCUUCGGCCCGUAAACCCCUGUCAUUUGCGAAUAAACCUUGCCAUUUAACAGACGGCAAGCUGAUUGUAGCGGAAGAGGAAGGGACGGCUAACUCUGUGCCAGCAGCCGCGGUAAUACAGAGGUCCCAAGCGUUGUUCGGAUUCACUGGGCGUAAAGGGUGCGUAGGCGGUUGGGUAAGUCUGUCGUGAAAUCUCCGAGCCUAACUCGGAAACUGCGUCGGAUACUAUUCAACUCGAGGAAUGGAGGGGAGACUGGAAUUCUCGGUGUAGCAGUGAAAUGCGUAGAUAUCGAGAGGAACACCAGUGGCGAAGGCGAGUCUCUGGACAUUUCCUGACGCUGAGGCACGAAAGCCAGGGGAGCAAACGGGAUUAGAAACCCGUGUAGUCC